RNAcentral lists this ribosomal RNA (301 nucleotides) under uncultured bacterium. Its description in RNAcentral is "partial 16S ribosomal RNA". It matches the Rfam family "Bacterial small subunit ribosomal RNA", at positions 509 to 807 of the family's 1533-position model. The record is from RNAcentral.
CAGUAGCCACGGGAAUACGAAGGGUGCAAGCGUUAAUCGGAAUUACUGGGCGUAAAGCGUGCGUAGGCGGUUUGUUAAGUCUGUUGUGAAAUCCCCGGGCUCAACCUGGGAAUGGCAAUGGAUACUGGCAAGCUAGAGUGUGUCAGAGGAUGGUGGAAUUCCCGGUGUAGCGGUGAAAUGCGUAGAGAUCGGGAGGAACAUCAGUGGCGAAGGCGGCCAUCUGGGACAACACUGACGCUGAGGCACGAAAGCGUGGGGAGCAAACAGGAUUAGAUACCCCAGUAGUCCCUGUCUCUUAUAC